GGAGCUCUCCCAUAUGGUCGACCUGCAGGCGGCCGCGAAUUCACUAGUGAUUGUUGAUCCUGGCUCAGAUUGAACGCUGGCGGCAGGCUUAACACAUGCAAGUCGAACGGUAACAGAGAAUAGCUUGCUAUUUUGCUGACGAGUGGCGGACGGGUGAGUAAUGCUUGGGAAUUUGCCGAAAGGUGGGGGACAACAGUUGGAAACGACUGCUAAUACCGCAUAAUGUCUACGGACCAAAGGUGGCCUCUAUUUAUAUGCUAUCGCCUUUCGAUGAGCCCAAGUGGGAUUAGCUAGUUGGUAAGGUAAUGGCUUACCAAGGCGACGAUCCCUAGCUGGUCUUAGAGGAUGACCAGCCACACUGGAACUGAGACACGGUCCAGACUCCUACGGGAGGCAGCAGUGGGGAAUAUUGCACAAUGGGGGAAACCCUGAUGCAGCCAUGCCGCGUGUGUGAAGAAGGCUUUCGGGUUGUAAAGCACUUUCAGCGAGGAGGAAAGGGUGAUGGCUAAUAUCCAUCAUCUGUGACGUUACUCGCAGAAGAAGCACCGGCUAACUCCGUGCCAGCAGCCGCGGUAAUACGGAGGGUGCAAGCGUUAAUCGGAAUUACUGGGCGUAAAGCGCGCGUAGGUGGUUAAUUAAGUCAGAUGUGAAAGCCCAGGGCUCAACCUUGGAACUGCAUUUGAAACUGGUUGACUAGAGUUUUGUAGAGGGUGGUAGAAUUUCAGGUGUAGCGGUGAAAUGCGUAGAGAUCUGAAGGAAUACCAGUGGCGAAGGCGGCCACCUGGACAAAGACUGACACUGAGGCGCGAAGGCGUGGGGAGCAAACGGGAUUAGAUACCCCGGUAGUCCACGCAGUAAACGAUGUCUAUUAGAAGUUUGUGGCUAUAUGCCGUGGGUUUCAAAGCUAACGCAUUAAAUAGACCGCCUGGGAGUACGGCCGGCAAGGUUAAAACUCAAAUGAAUUGA
Molecule: ribosomal RNA, 966 nt
Filed under: Alteromonadales bacterium
Lineage: Bacteria; Pseudomonadati; Pseudomonadota; Gammaproteobacteria; Alteromonadales
Description: bacterial SSU rRNA
Rfam family: Bacterial small subunit ribosomal RNA
Source: RNAcentral